CUGGCGGCGUGCUUCAUACAUGCAAGUCGAACGAUAAGGUCUCUUCGGAGACAUAUAAGUGGCGGACGGGUGAGUAAUGUGUAGAGAAUCUGCCCUAGAGUGGGGGACAACAGUUGGAAACGACUGCUAAUACCGCAUAUGCGCGUAGCUGAGAAGCUAUUCGUGAAAACUCCGGUGCUCUGGGAUGAGUCUGCAUCUGAUUAGCUAGUUGGGGGUGUAAUGGACCACCAAGGCGACGAUCAGUAGCUGGUUUGAGAGGAUGAUCAGCCACAAUGGGACUGAGACACGGCCCAUACUCCUACGGGAGGCAGCAGUAGGGAAUUUUGCGCAAUGGGGGGAACCCUGACGCAAGCAACGCCGCGUGAUUGAAUAAGCCCUUCGGGGUGUAAAGAUCUGUCAGUGGGGACGAAACUUGACGGUACCCACAGAGGAAGCAUCGGCUAACUCCGUGCCAGCCGCUGC
Molecule: ribosomal RNA, 462 nt
Filed under: uncultured bacterium
Lineage: Bacteria
Description: bacterial SSU rRNA
Rfam family: Bacterial small subunit ribosomal RNA
Source: RNAcentral